Molecule: long non-coding RNA, 1065 nt
Organism: Drosophila sulfurigaster albostrigata
Lineage: Eukaryota; Metazoa; Arthropoda; Insecta; Diptera; Drosophilidae
Exons: 2
Source: RefSeq, a predicted model, not a curated record
UUUAGAAUUACUUAUUCAACCCACACAAUCCGCAACAUCAAUAUUGACUCCAUAUUUUAAGGUGUAUGUACAAAUUUGUGAAUGUGCCUGACUAAAAGCAAAACAAUGUAGCCUAACACACUAGCAUAAUUAAAUUGUUUUCGACAAUUCUUGAAAAUAUUAUUGAGCAAUGUUUAAGAUAAACUUGUGUCGCAUUCGGUUUUAUAAUGUUUGAUUCUAAAUUGUGUCCAGUGCUCAUGCGAAAAUUCUCUUCCCACUGAUUAACACCGACAAAUACGUUUACGUGCUGGGAUUGUUGAUGAUGGAUUGUGAAUGCAUGUGAUGGAACCCAUGGAGAAGAUAGAACAGCCGACCAACUUAUACAUAGAUACAAUCUCUGUGGUUGAGCUUUCAUUAGACACAAUAAUAGUGUUGAUUGGCUUACUGAUUGGCCAACACUUCCUGGCCAAAAAUUAUUUUCCUAUAGAUUCGCUUAACUGCUUAACUAAUUCAAGUCGGAACUCGCUUAAGGGAGAUUGGGGGUGGUGGUGUACACGAGUAAUUAGUUUCUAUGAAGUGUCGUGGAGUUUCGGAAUGUAAACAGCAUAUUUCGAUUAUUUGCAUAAUUAUCAUAUGUAAGUAUGUAUAAGUAUCUAUUAGCACUAUACUGUAUAUAUAAAUUCUUUUACAAAUAGCAGACUACAAUAUCAAAAGCACACUGUGGAUAUUUGGAGUGCUCUUCUCUAUGAACUGUUGUUUUUUUUUUUAGAUGCUUGGAAGAACGGCAACAGAAAAUCGAAUUCUUCUAAAUCAUAUUAUGUGUUUGUGUUUGUAUUCGUAUUCGUGUGUAAGUAUUUAUUUAUUUAUAUGUUUCUGCUUUCAGUUUACCAAAUAAGAUGCAAUCGAAUGAGUGUGCAUAUAUGUAUGUAUGUGUGUGUAUAUAAAAAUUUAGAUCUAUAAGCAUAACACUUGGAAUUUGUCUCUCUUUCGUUAUCUCUUUUGCUUCUAAGGCGAAAUAUUAUAUUGUCAAUUCUUUGGCUUGAGCCGAAAACCAUGCAAAAUGACAAAAUAUAUUUCUCAGAAGGG